AGAGUUUGAUCCUGGCUCAGAUUGAACGCUAGCGGGAUGCCUUACACAUGCAAGUCGAACGGCAGCGCGGACUUCGGUCUGGCGGCGAGUGGCGAACGGGUGAGUAAUGUAUCGGAACGUGCCCAGUAGCGGGGGACAACCACUCGAAAGAGUGGCUAAUACCGCAUACGCCCUACGGGGAAAGGGGGGAUCGCAAGACCUCUCACUAUUGGAGCGGCCGAUAUCGGAUUAGCUAGUUGGUGGGGUAAAGGCCUACCAAGGCGACGAUCCGUAGCUGGUUUGAGAGGACGACCAGCCACACUGGGACUGAGACACGGCCCAGACUCCUACGGGAGGCAGCAGUGGGGAAUUUUGGACAAUGGGGAAACCCUGAUCCAGCCAUUCCGCGUGUGCGAUGAAGGCCUUCGGGUUGUAAAGCACUUUUGGCAGGAAAGAAAUCGUGUGGGUUAAUACCCUGCGCGGAUGACGGUACCUGCAGAAUAAGCACCGGCUAACUACGUG
Molecule: ribosomal RNA, 501 nt
Filed under: uncultured bacterium
Lineage: Bacteria
Description: bacterial SSU rRNA
Rfam family: Bacterial small subunit ribosomal RNA
Source: RNAcentral